Molecule: RNA transcript, 1466 nt
Organism: Glycine soja
Lineage: Eukaryota; Viridiplantae; Streptophyta; Magnoliopsida; Fabales; Fabaceae
Gene name: coiled-coil domain-containing protein 93
Exons: 12
Source: RefSeq, a predicted model, not a curated record
AGAGUAGUAAUUUAGCCAAAUUGUAAAAGAAAGAAAAUCAGGAUCCAAAUUCCAAACCAUAUGUAAACAGUAAACCAAACUGGACUGAGGCGAGAAGGAGUAGAGCAUAGUAUGGAGCACACAGUCUCAAACUCAAGCAGUGUCGAGCAGAUUCUGAAUCUUCUCUACGCAGCCGGCUACGUCGACGCCACAAAUCCCGAUGCGCCGCCGUCUCAGAAAAUCGCCGCCGGCCUCUCCUGGUGCAUCGCCGCCAUAACAGGCGACGACAACACACGUGACAUCGAGGAAUCGUUUGGAUUAGUUGGAUGCCCGCACCCUCUGCGAUCCUCUCACAUUCAGGAUCUUGAUACCGAUGCUCUUUUUCCUGUAAUUCAGUGGCUUGCGUCACACAUUCGGCAAAAUCAAGAACACUGUGUCAAUGAGGUUCAUCAUGCUGAAAAUACCAUUGAAGUGGAUGAGUGUAGAACUUCGAUUCAGGCAUUAAGUGGCAACUUGGAUGAACUGAAUCAGCGGAAGAUGAAUGUUGUGAAGCAAUUAUAUAUUCUACAAGAGAGAAUCAAUAAGGAGGGUGCUGAUUCUGCAGUACAGAAGUUGCUUUCUUUACUGACAUCUUUGAAGAAUCUUGAAAAGCAGGAAAAAUACUUUCAGUCCAAUCGUGAUGCUAAACACUCAGAACUUCAAGAUGAUAUUAGUGAAUUAGAGAGGAAAAUAACAAAUGACAGUGAUAAUGAGAACCUUCCUGAUGAACUACAUCAUUCAUUUGGUGAAUUAGUUGAAAAAGUCAAUUUGAUGAAAAAGCAACUUGCUGCUAGACUGAGGGAUAUUGUGGUAUUAAGACGACAGAUUGAUGACCUACCGUGCCAAUCAGAAGUCAUCCAGUACGAACGCCGGCUCUCAGAACUGUAUGCACAAAUCCAGGGAAAACAUCGACAAACUCGUAAAUACUAUGCUACCUACAAUGCUCUCUUGGAAAUAAAAGAAUUGAUGCUAAAGGAAACAUCUUUAUUGAAUUCGAUCAUUUCCCAGUUUCAAGAGGCCUUUAGUAGCACUGAUGGACGUAUAAAACUUGUUCAUUCCAUGGAAGGAAUUGUCAAGGGAAGUCAACAGAAGCUAGAAAGGGUUCAUGUAGGACUUCAAGAAGAAGAGAGAAUUCGUAAUGAUCUGAAGGAUAGGUAUGCUGCAGCAACCGGUGAGCACAAGCACUGCUAUUCUCUGUUGAAAGCUUUUCAGGCCCAAUGUGCGAAGAAUUAGAGGUUUCGAUGACAAGACAACUUUGAGGUUGAGUUGCACAAAGUACUGUAUCGCGUCAAAGCGUAGAGGUUGCGUUCAUGCUCAUAAAAUCUGUAUUUUAAAGCUGAUGCCAUGAGUUGUUUCUCUGUAACUGUAGACGAUCCCAGUAAGGGUGGAGAAUUCUCCAAUUGAAAUUUACUUUAACGUAAAUUUACUAAGGAUUGAAUUUUUUUAUA